GUGGGUGUAGCUCAGUGGUAGAGCCCCGGAUUGUGACUCCGGUGGUCGUGGGUUCGAAACCCAUCAUCCACCCCA
RNAcentral lists this transfer RNA (75 nucleotides) under Halomonas sp. RNAcentral's name for it is "tRNA-His". It matches the Rfam family "tRNA". From Rfam's summary of the family: Transfer RNA (tRNA) molecules are approximately 80 nucleotides in length. Lineage: Bacteria; Pseudomonadati; Pseudomonadota; Gammaproteobacteria; Oceanospirillales; Halomonadaceae. RNAcentral also lists the same sequence under 2 other names. The record is from RNAcentral.